CAGUAGCCGCGGGAAUACGUAGGGUGCGAGCGUUAAUCGGAAUUACUGGGCGUAAAGCGCACGUAGGCGGAUCGAUCAGUCAGGGGUGAAAUCCCAGAGCUCAACUCUGGAAUUGCCUUUGAUACUGUCGAUCUGGAGUAUGGAAGAGGUGAGUGGAAUUCCGAGUGUAGAGGUGAAAUUCGUAGAUAUUCGGAAGAACACCAGUGGCGAAGGCGGCUCACUGACUGGUAUUGACGCUGAGGUGCGAAAGCGUGGGGAGCAAGCAGGAUUAGAUACCCCGGUAGUCCCUGUCUCUUAUACC
RNAcentral lists this ribosomal RNA (301 nucleotides) under uncultured bacterium. Its description in RNAcentral is "partial 16S ribosomal RNA". It matches the Rfam family "Bacterial small subunit ribosomal RNA", at positions 509 to 808 of the family's 1533-position model. The record is from RNAcentral.